RNAcentral lists this ribosomal RNA (339 nucleotides) under uncultured bacterium. Its description in RNAcentral is "bacterial SSU rRNA". It matches the Rfam family "Bacterial small subunit ribosomal RNA", at positions 515 to 853 of the family's 1533-position model. The record is from RNAcentral.
CCGCGGUAAUACGUAGAGGGCGAGCGUUGUCCGGAAUUACUGGGCGUAAAGGGUGCGUAGGCGGGUAGGCAAGUCAAAUGUGAAAUCCGUCGGCUCAACCGGCGAAUAGCAUUUGAAACUGCCUAUCUUGAGUGCAGGAGAGGGAAGCGGAAUUCCUGGUGUAGCGGUGAAAUGCGUAGAUAUCAGGAAGAACACCAGUGGCGAAGGCGGCUUCCUGGCCUGCAACUGACGCUGACGCACGAAAGCUGGGGGAGCGAACGGGAUUAGAUACCCCGGUAGUCCCAGCCGUAAACGAUGGACACUAGGUGUUGGAGGUUCGAUUCCUUCAGUGCCGGAGUU